Molecule: long non-coding RNA, 273 nt
Filed under: Carica papaya (papaya)
Lineage: Eukaryota; Viridiplantae; Streptophyta; Magnoliopsida; Brassicales; Caricaceae
Description: long non-coding RNA (CPAP_LNC007994)
Source: RNAcentral
CUAGUUGUACAAGCUCUAUUUCUUUUGUAUGUAAGAGAUGUUCUGAAAGGUAUUCAGUAUUGAAGGCUGCCAAAAACUGUUUCCAAGUGACUAGAAUGGGUAAAAUAGCAUGCUUGUGUUGCCACCAAUGCCCUGCUUUACCCAUGAGCAUAUAUGUGGCAAGAACAAUCUUUUGUUCGGGGAUCACCCCAAGUCUCGCAAAGUCUUCUCUAUCUCUGCUAACUAGUACUCAGUUAUCUCAAAAGUAGAUGAGUUAAGUCUUUUCUACCUCUC